This 491-nucleotide ribosomal RNA is filed under the name uncultured bacterium. RNAcentral describes it as "partial 16S ribosomal RNA". It matches the Rfam family "Bacterial small subunit ribosomal RNA", at positions 29 to 507 of the family's 1533-position model. The record is from RNAcentral.
GUGAACGCUGGCGGUAGGCCUAACACAUGCAAGUCGAACGGCAGCACAGUAAGAGCUUGCUCUUACGGGUGGCGAGUGGCGGACGGGUGAGGAAUACAUCGGAAUCUACUUUUUCGUGGGGGGUAACGUAGGGAAACUUACGCUAAUACCGCAUACGACCUACGGGUGAAAGCAGGGGAUCUUCGGACCUUGCGCGAUUGAAUGAGCCGAUGUCGGAUUAGCUAGUUGGCGGGGUAAAGGCCCACCAAGGCGACGAUCCGUAGCUGGUCUGAGAGGAUGAUCCGCCACACUGGGACAGAGAGACGGUCCCCACACCCACGGGGGGGAGCAGUGGGGAAAAUUGGGGAAUGGGCGCAAGACUGAUCCAGCCAUACCGCGUGGGUGAAGAAGGCCUUCGGGUUGUAAAGCCCUUUUGUUGGGAAAGAAAAGCAGCAGGUUAAUACCCCGCUGUUCUGACGGUACCCAAAGAAUAAGCACCGGCUAACUUCGUG